Molecule: ribosomal RNA, 403 nt
Filed under: uncultured bacterium
Lineage: Bacteria
Description: bacterial SSU rRNA
Rfam family: Bacterial small subunit ribosomal RNA
Source: RNAcentral
UGAGGAAUAUUGCACAAUGGGCGCAAGCCUGAUGCAGCAACGCCGCGUGCGGGACGAAGGCCUUCGGGUCGUAAACCGCUUUUCUGGGGGAAGAGCAAGGACGGUACCUCAGGAAUAAGUCUCGGCUAACUACGUGCCAGCAGCCGCGGUAAAACGUAGGAGGCGAGCGUUAUCCGGAUUUACUGGGCGUAAAGCGCGUGCAGGCGGAUUGGAGAGUUGGAUGUGAAAGCUCCCGGCUUAACUGGGAGAGGUCGUCCAAUACUUCCAGUCUUGAGUGCAGUAGAGGGAAGUGGAAUUCCGGGUGUAGUGGUGAAAUGCGUAGAUAUCCGGAGGAACACCAGUGGCGAAAGCGGCUUCCUGGACUGUAACUGACGCUCAGACGCGAAAGCUAGGGUAGCAAACG